Molecule: ribosomal RNA, 650 nt
Filed under: uncultured bacterium
Lineage: Bacteria
Description: bacterial SSU rRNA
Rfam family: Bacterial small subunit ribosomal RNA
Source: RNAcentral
GAGUUUGAUCAUGGCUCAGGAUGAACGCUGGCGGCGUGGAUAAGGCAUGCAAGUAGAACGCCCCGCAAGGGGAGUUGCGAACGAGGUAGUAAUACAUAGGUACAAACCCCCGAGUCAGGAAUAACCUACCGAAAGGUAGGCUAAUACUUGAUAGUCCCGCAAGGGUAAAGAUUUAUCGCUUGGGGAUUGGCCUGUGCAGUAUCAGCUAGUUGGUAGGGUAAUAGCCUACCAAGGCAAUGACGCUUAGGGGAGGUGAGAGCCUGGCCCCCACCGAUGGUACUGAGACACGGACCAUACACCUACGGGUGGCUGCAGUCGAGAAUCUUCCGCAAUGGACGCAAGUCUGACGGAGCGACGCCGCGUGACUGAUGAAGUCUUUCGGGAUGUAAAGGUCUUUUAUGAAGGAGAAAGUUUUGAUAGUACUUCAUGAAUAAGGGGUUGCUAAACUCGUGCCAGCAGCAGCGGUAAUACGAGUACCCCAAGCGUUAUCCGGAAUUAUUGGGCGUAAAGGGUAUGUAGGUUGUUAUGUUAGUCUUUUGUCAAAGCCUUCGGCUCAACCGGAGAAUUGCGGGAGAAACGGCAUAACUAGAGGGCGCGAGAGGUUUGCGGAACUCAUGGUGUAGGGGUGAAAUCCGUUGAUAUCAUGGGGA